RNAcentral lists this ribosomal RNA (253 nucleotides) under uncultured bacterium. RNAcentral describes it as "partial 16S ribosomal RNA". It matches the Rfam family "Bacterial small subunit ribosomal RNA", at positions 524 to 776 of the family's 1533-position model. The record is from RNAcentral.
UACGUAGGGUGCGAGCGUUGUCCGGAAUUAUUGGGCGUAAAGAGCUCGUAGGCGGCCAGUUGCGUCUGCUGUGAAAUCCCGGGGCUCAACCUCGGGCGUGCAGUGGAUACGGGCUGGCUAGAGGCAGGCAGGGGAGAACGGAAUUCCCGGUGUAGCGGUGAAAUGCGCAGAUAUCGGGAGGAACACCGGUGGCGAAGGCGGUUCUCUGGGCCUGUACUGACGCUGAGGAGCGAAAGCGUGGGGAGCGAACAGG